UGGAAGGGGCCGUCCUGUGAGCCCAGAGGGGAACAUGAUAGUCUCUAAGCUGGAAAGGACCUGCAAAGAAUAAGAGGAGGAGGAGGAAGCAGGCUGCUGCCACAGGCUCCCACCCCAUAGGAACUGAUGCCACAGGUACGGGUGGCUGAGAGGUCACCACAUACAACUCCACCCUGGGAGCGGCUCACACCUGCGCAGAGACAAUAAUGCUGAUUUCAGGAAGACCUCCAUGCAGACAACCACGCUGAUAAAAUACCUGUUUUGAUCCAGAACAAGACAACUGGAGUAUGGACAAGUGUGUUUGGACAAGGACAAAGUCAGAGCUUCCUAUGAUG
Molecule: long non-coding RNA, 335 nt
Organism: Bubalus bubalis (water buffalo)
Lineage: Eukaryota; Metazoa; Chordata; Mammalia; Artiodactyla; Bovidae
Exons: 3
Source: RefSeq, a predicted model, not a curated record